CAAGGUCCCCUGCUCCCCCCACCCCACUCCAACCCUACUUCCAUGAAUUUCUUGCCAAGGACUGUAACCCAUUAGCUCUUCCCUUUCCGUGGUUACUUAGUGCACUUACAUAGUCCGCAUUGUAGAAUUUGAUACUUUAUUUUAGAUUGUAUUCAUAGCCCUCACAAGAGAUUAUAGGGUUCUUGGGGGUAGAAAUUAUAUCUUAUCCUUAAUUUUUUUCAAUUAUGUGUAAUUUAUUGUAGUCUUAGGCACAUGGUAAAUGCUUAGUAAAUACUGACUAAUUGGAUUUUAUAGAAUAAGCCUGCUUCCUAGGGGAAGUCUUCUAGACUAGAAUAAGGAAAAGGAGGUGACUUCAUGCAGUCUGAACAUGCAGCUCCCAGAACUACCUGCUGCUCAUCCAUCCUACACUUCAAUUUAUCCCUUGGAGAUGAACUGUGUUAAUCUUAUAUAUUCCAUAUUCAUAUUGUGAUAGCUCUAUGUCCUUUUAUAUGCCUUGGUAUCAUUACAUGCCUUAGAUUGAUAAUUCUAACCAUUUUUUUGCAGUAUAUUAGCCAUAUAUAUAGUGGCAGCACAUCACCACUCAUAUAAUGAUGAUUAUGAUGAUGAUGAUUACUAUUAUUUAUAAUAGCUGGAUUUGUUGAGGACUCAUUUGCAAUGUACCAGGCAUUAUGCUAAGUACUUUUCAUGUAAGGUAGAUAUUCCCACCUUUACAAAUGAAGAAAACCAAGGCUUAUGGAGAUUAAGUAAUUUUCCCAAGUCACAUAGCUAACUAGUGACAGUGCUAGAACUCAAAACCCAGUCUGUCUGACCUAGAAUAUCUUAAUCAUUAUGUGGCUGACUUGCCAAUAAAAUGUUGAUCACAAAUUCUAAUUUUCCUAUGUUUUCUCUUAUUGAUCUCUCAUCUUGAUAUUCUGGAUAUUCUCUCUCACUGUGACUCUUUCUACCUCUGAUUUAUUCUUUUCUUCUGCAAAUAAUAGAUAAGUGAGGCUUAGUUCCCUAAGAUAGAAAAUAUGGGAGGUAGGUGUCUGAGGAUUAACUAAGUAAGGGUCCUUGUGGCUGGAUUGGUUUCAGUAGUAUAGCAGAAAGGUUUCAGUCAAUCUGUCCCUACAUGGCUGUCCUAGUAGAGAGAUGGGAGGCACCAAAUUUAGGCAGAUAAGGAA
Molecule: long non-coding RNA, 1160 nt
Filed under: Homo sapiens (human)
Lineage: Eukaryota; Metazoa; Chordata; Mammalia; Primates; Hominidae
Description: HSALNT0016254
Source: RNAcentral